RNAcentral lists this long non-coding RNA (604 nucleotides) under Dermacentor andersoni. RNAcentral's name for it is "uncharacterized LOC126540307". The record is from RNAcentral. Lineage: Eukaryota; Metazoa; Arthropoda; Arachnida; Ixodida; Ixodidae.
AAUCGCAAAGCUAGAGUCCCUUCGCGGCGGCGAUUGUAUACGCGCCGACCACAGUGACGCGCGCCUAUCUUGUUCUUUCCAUUAUCGUUAGUUGGCCGGACACUCCUACGCUUUUUCGAGACAGCGGUGCCCAAUCGCGGGUCCUCUACGUUUUCUUUUCCAAGGCGCAUGCGCAUAACGUUCCGCUGCCAUAAAAGCACGCGGCCAACUUGUUGACCUGCGGCCGCGAUCCAGCGAAGCGACAAGCGCCUUUAGGAUUCGCGGUGACUGAGUUCGUACAAGUCCUGUGGAUCAACGAUCACAAGAUGCGAUCCUGUUUCCAGUACUCAGCUGCACUGUUGAUCGCACUGCUCGUCGGCUUUGCUUUAGCCCAACGUGGUUUCCCUGGUCGACGCUGCGGGCCCGGUGAGCAGUUUUCCCAGUGCAGCACUGCCUGCCCCGCAAUUUGUGGCCAGCCACCGCCGCAGGCCUGCGCUUUCAAGUGCGUCACCGGGUGCGUCUGCAGACCUGGAUUGAUUCGCGCUUUCAACGGAUGGUGUGUGCCCGAGCGCCUCUGUGUCCGAAGACAAUAAAGCCUCAUUAAAAACAUAACUCCGUAGUCUCG